GACGAACGCUGGCGGCGUGCUUAACACAUGCAAGUCGAACGGUAAGGCCCUUCGGGGUACACGAGUGGCGAACGGGUGAGUAACACGUGGGUGAUCUGCCCUGCACUUCGGGAUAAGCCUGGGAAACUGGGUCUAAUACCGGAUAGGACCACUGCCUGCAUGGGGGGUGGUGGAAAGCUUUUGCGGUGUGGGAUGGGCCCGCGGCCGAUCAGCUUGGUGGUGGGGUGAUGGCCUACCAAGGCGACGACGGGUAGCCGGCCUGAGAGGGUGACCGGCCACACUGGGACUGAGAUACGGCCCAGACUCCUACAGGGGGCAGCAGUGGGGAAUAUUGCACAAUGGGCGCAAGCCUGAUGCAGCGACGCCGCGUGAGGGAUGACGGCCUUCGGGUUGUAAACCUCUCUCAGCACCGACGAAGCGCAAGUGACGGUAGGUGCAGAAGAAGGACCGGCCAACUACGUGCCAGCCGCCGCCGUAA
RNAcentral lists this ribosomal RNA (478 nucleotides) under uncultured bacterium. Its description in RNAcentral is "partial 16S ribosomal RNA". It matches the Rfam family "Bacterial small subunit ribosomal RNA", at positions 28 to 523 of the family's 1533-position model. The record is from RNAcentral.